RNAcentral lists this ribosomal RNA (358 nucleotides) under Haptophyta environmental samples. RNAcentral describes it as "SSU rRNA". It matches the Rfam family "Eukaryotic small subunit ribosomal RNA", at positions 595 to 957 of the family's 1831-position model. The record is from RNAcentral. Lineage: Eukaryota; Haptophyta.
UAGCGUAUAUUAAAGUUGUUGCAGUUAGAACGCUCGUAGUCGGAUUUCGGGGCGUUCCGACCGGUCUGCCGAUGGGUAUGCACUGGCCGGAGUGUCCUUUUUGCCGGAGACCGUGCCUACUCUUAACUGAGCGGGGGCGGGAGACGGAACGUUUACUUUGAAAAAAUCAGAGUGUUUCAAGCAGGCAGCUCGCUCUUGCAUGGAUUAGCAUGGGAUAAUGAAAUAGGACUUUGGUGCUAUUUUGUUGGUUUCGAACACCGAAGUAAUGAUGAGAAGGGACAGUCAGGGGCACUCGUAUUCCGCCGAGAGAGGUGAAAUUCUCAGACCAGCGGAAGACGAACCACUGCGAAAGCAUUUG